AAACGUCCCACUACCAGUGCAACGAACACACUCAGGCAGAAACAGCGACUUCAGGAGCCACCACUAGCUCUGUUCACAGACAAAUAAAACCCCUGCUAACUCCAAGGGGAGCUAACAGAGCCCAGCUUGAGAUGCAGGACCUUUAUUUCAUGGGAAAAGGAAGCACAGCAUCAAGCAAUUGAGAGGAUUUUAAAUCAGAAUACGGACAUUUCCCAAAGUACACGUACAGCCUUCCAAGUCUCCUAAUGACACAGCAUAAAGCUGCACAGUUGCAUCUUUCCCUGCUAAGGAGAGCUUCACAACACCUUUCACAUAUACGUUUGAGGCGAGGAGCUGUUCCAAUACACUUUAAGA
Meleagris gallopavo (turkey) is the source of this 354-nucleotide non-coding RNA. Lineage: Eukaryota; Metazoa; Chordata; Aves; Galliformes; Phasianidae. The record is from RefSeq and is a predicted model, not a curated record.